Molecule: ribosomal RNA, 198 nt
Filed under: uncultured bacterium
Lineage: Bacteria
Description: partial 16S ribosomal RNA
Rfam family: Bacterial small subunit ribosomal RNA
Source: RNAcentral
GGCUGCAACUCGCCUACAUGAAGUCGGAAUUGCUAGUAAUCGCGGAUCAGCAUGCCGCGGUGAAUACGUUCCCGGGCCUUGUACACACCGCCCGUCACACCAUGGGAGUCGGUAACACCCGAAGCCUGUAGUCCAACCGCAAGGAGGACGCAGUCGAAGGUGGGAUUGAUGACUGGGGUGAAGUCGUAACAAGGUAGC